GAUCCUGAUGAUCAUCUUUUGUAUCAAUAUACGCUGGAAAUUACCGGCUGAGACUGUUCUCUGAAGAUAUUAAAUGGCUAUUUCUGACU
Molecule: small nucleolar RNA, 89 nt
Filed under: Ustilaginoidea virens
Lineage: Eukaryota; Fungi; Ascomycota; Sordariomycetes; Hypocreales; Clavicipitaceae
Description: A. fumigatus snoRNA Afu_300
Rfam family: A. fumigatus snoRNA Afu_300
Source: Rfam by way of RNAcentral